RNAcentral lists this ribosomal RNA (559 nucleotides) under uncultured organism. RNAcentral describes it as "bacterial SSU rRNA". It matches the Rfam family "Bacterial small subunit ribosomal RNA", at positions 875 to 1448 of the family's 1533-position model. The record is from RNAcentral.
GGGGAGUAUGCUCGCAAGGGUGAAACUCAAAGGAAUUGACGGGGGCCCGCACAAGCGUUGGAGCAUCUGGUUUAAUUCGAUGAUACGCGAGAAACCUUACCAGGGCUUGACAUAUACUCGACGGUUGUAGAGAUACAGCUUCCCUUCGGGUCGGGUAUACAGGUGCUGCAUGGCUGUCGUCAGCUCGUGCUCUGAACUGUUGGUUUAAUCCUCGCAACGAGCGCAACCCCUGCUACCUGUUGCCAGCAUUCAGUUGGGGACUCAGGUGGAACAGCCGGUGACAAACCGGAGGAAGGUGGGGACGACAUCAAGUCAUCAUGGCCCUUAUGUCCUGGGCUACACACGUGCUACAAUGGCCGGUACAGAGUGACGCGAUACCGCGAGGUGGAGCAAAUCGCAGNAAGCCGGUCUCAGUACAGAUUGGAGUCUGAACCCGACUUCAUGAAGUGGGAUCGCUAGUAUCGCGAUCCGCAUGCGCAGUGAUACGUCCCGGGCAUGUACACACCGCCGUACACCACCCGAGUGGGGUACCCGAGUCGCUCGUCUACCUGUCAAAGGG